RNAcentral lists this ribosomal RNA (463 nucleotides) under uncultured bacterium. RNAcentral describes it as "bacterial SSU rRNA". It matches the Rfam family "Bacterial small subunit ribosomal RNA", at positions 350 to 793 of the family's 1533-position model. The record is from RNAcentral.
AGCAGUGGGGAAGUAUUGCACAAUAGGGCGCAAGACCUGAUGCAGCCAUGCCGCGUGUAUGAAGAAGGACCUUCGGGUUGUAAGUACGUUUCUAGCAGUGAGGAAGGUGGUAGUGUUAAUAGCACUAUCAUUUGACGUUAGCUGCAGAAGAAGACACCGGCUAACUACCGUCGCCAGCAGCCGCGGUAAUACGGAGGGUGCGAGCGUUAAUCGGAAUUACUGGGCGUAAAGCGCAUGCAGGUGGUUUGUUAAGUCAGAUGUGAAAGCCCGGGGCGUCAACCUCGGAAUUGCAUUUGUAAACUAGGCAGACUAGAGUACUGUAGAGGGGGGUAGGAAUUUCAGGUGUAGCGGUGAAAUGCGUAGAGAUCUGAAGGAAUACCGGUGGCGAAGGCGGCCCCCUGGACAGAUACUGACACUCAGAUGCGAAAGCGUGGGGAGCAAACAGGAUUAGAUACCCUGGUAG